Rhincodon typus (whale shark) is the source of this 296-nucleotide long non-coding RNA. RefSeq lists it as uncharacterized. The record is from RefSeq and is a predicted model, not a curated record. Lineage: Eukaryota; Metazoa; Chordata; Chondrichthyes; Orectolobiformes; Rhincodontidae. The transcript is spliced from 3 exons.
AGGACCUCCCGGAGAUCCAGGAAAUCCAGGACCAGUAGGGUUGCCUGGUAUCCAAGGACAACCAGGAUCUGUGAGACCUCCUGGCCCACCUGGUCCCAAAGGUCCACCUGGAUCACCCGGUCUACAUGGUCUCAAUGGUUUGCCAGGACAGAAAGGAUCUCGUGGACCUUCAGGACCAAGUGAAACAGGAUCCCCUGGAUCACCAGGACCAUCUGGACCGAAAGGUGAAAAGGGCUCUCCAGGAUCUCCAGGAAGCUCUAGUCAGUGCCCAGUGGGUAGACAAGGACCUCAGGGAA